This 394-nucleotide ribosomal RNA is filed under the name uncultured bacterium. RNAcentral's name for it is "bacterial SSU rRNA". It matches the Rfam family "Bacterial small subunit ribosomal RNA", at positions 37 to 433 of the family's 1533-position model. The record is from RNAcentral.
UAGCGGCNGGCUUAAUACNUGCAAGUCUAACGGGAAUAGUAGCUAUAUUAUUUCAGUGGCGGACGGGUGAGUAACGCGUACNCAACCUACCUUUCAGAGGGGGAUAGCAUCUGGAAACGGGUGGUAAUACCGCAUAGUUUUGCGAGGUGGCAUCAUUUUGCAAAUAAAGCUACGGCGCUGAGAGAUGGGUGUGCGUAUGAUUAGGUAGUUGGUAGGGUAAAGGCCUACCAAGCCGACGAUCAUUAGGGGGUGUGAGAGCAUGGCCCCCCACACGGGUACUGAGACACGGACCCGACUCCUACGGGAGGCAGCAGUAAGGAAUAUUGGUCAAUGGACGGAAGUCUGAACCAGCCAUGCCGCGUGAAGGAAGAAGGCGCUCUGCGUUGUAAACUUC